Molecule: ribosomal RNA, 305 nt
Filed under: uncultured bacterium
Lineage: Bacteria
Description: bacterial SSU rRNA
Rfam family: Bacterial small subunit ribosomal RNA
Source: RNAcentral
UCCUACGGGAGGCAGCAGUGGGGAAUAUUGCACAAUGGGGGAAACCCUGAUGCAGCGACGCCGCGUGAGUGAAGAAGUAUUUCGGUAUGUAAAGCUCUAUCAGCAGGGAAGAAGUUGACGGUACCUGAGUAAGAAGCCCCGGCUAACUACGUGCCAGCAGCCGCGGUAAUACGUAGGGAGCGAGCGUUGUCCGGAAUUACUGGGUGUAAAGGUAGCGUAGGCGGGACGGCAAGUCAGAUGUGAAAACUGAGGGCUCAACUUUCAGACUGCAUUUGAAACUGCUGUUCUUGAGUGAAGUAGAGGUA